UCGUGGCUCAGAUUGAACGCUGGCGGCAGGCCUAACACAUGCAAGUCGAACGGUAACAGGAAACAGCUUGCUGUUUCGCUGACGAGUGGCGGACGGGUGAGUAAUGUCUGGGAAACUGCCUGAUGGAGGGGGAUAACUACUGGAAACGGUAGCUAAUACCGCAUAACGUCGCAAGACCAAAGAGGGGGGGACCUUCGGGCCUCUUGCCAUCAGAUGUGCCCAGAUGGGAUUAGCUAGUAGGUGGGGUAACGGCUCACCUAGGCGACGAUCCCUAGCUGGUCUGAGAGGAUGACCAGCCACACUGGAACUGAGACACGGUCCAGACUCCUACGGGAGGCAGCAGUGGGGAAUAUUGCACAAUGGGCGCAAGCCUGAUGCAGCCAUGCCGCGUGUAUGAAGAAGGCCUUCGGGUUGUAAAGUACUUUCAGCGGGGAGGAAGGGAGUAAAGUUAAUACCUUUGCUCAUUGACGUUACCCGCAGAAGAAGCACCGGCUGACUCCGUGCCAGCAGCCGCGGUAAUACGGAGGGUGCAAGCGUUAAUCGGAAUUACUGGGCGUAAAGCGCACGCAGGCGGUUUGUUAAGUCAGAUGUGAAAUCCCCGGGCUCAACCUGGGAACUGCAUCUGAUACUGGCAAGCUUGAGUCUCGUAGAGGGGGGUAGAAUUCCAGGUGUAGCGGUGAAAUGCGUAGAGAUCUGGAGGAAUACCGGUGGCGAAGGCGGCCCCCUGGACGAAGACUGACGCUCAGGUGCGAAAGCGUGGGGAGCAAACAGGAUUAGAUACCCUGGUAGUCCACGCCGUAAACGAUGUCGACUUGGAGGUUGUGCCCUUGAGGCGUGGCUUCCGGAGCUAACGCGUUAAGUCGACCGCCUGGGGAGUACGGCCGCAAGGUUAAAACUCAAAUGAAUUGACGGGGGCCCGCACAAGCGGUGGAGCAUGUGGUUUAAUUCGAUGCAACGCGAAGAACCUUACCUGGUCUUGACAUCCACGGAAGUUUUCAGAGAUGAGAAUGUGCCUUCGGGAACCGUGAGACAGGUGCUGCAUGGCUGUCGUCAGCUCGUGUUGUGAAAUGUUGGGUUAAGUCCCGCAACGAGCGCAACCCUUAUCCUUUGUUGCCAGCGGUCCGGCCGGGGACUCAAAGGAGACUGCCAGUGAUAAACUGGAGGAAGGUGGGGAUGACGUCAAGUCAUCAUGGCCCUUACGACCAGGGCUACACACGUGCUACAAUGGCGCAUACAAAGAGAAGCGACCUCGCGAGAGCAAGCGGACCUCAUAAAGUGCGUCGUAGUCCGGAUUGGAGUCUGCAACUCGACUCCAUGAAGUCGGAAUCGCUAGUAAUCGUGGAUCAGAAUGCCACGGUGAAUACGUUCCCGGGCCUUGUACACACCGCCCGUCACACCAUGGGAGUGGGUUGCAAAAGAAGUAGGUAGCUUAACCUUCGGGAGGGCGCUUACCACUUUGUGAUUCAUGACUGGGGUGAAGUCGUAACAAGGUAACCGUAGGGGAACCUGCGGUUG
Molecule: ribosomal RNA, 1515 nt
Filed under: metagenome
Description: bacterial SSU rRNA
Rfam family: Bacterial small subunit ribosomal RNA
Source: RNAcentral